GUGCCAGCAGCCGCGGUAAUACGUAGGUGGCAAGCGUUAUCCGGAAUUAUUGGGCGUAAAGCGCGCGUAGGCGGUUUUUUAAGUCUGAUGUGAAAGCCCACGGCUCAACCGUGGAGGGUCAUUGGAAACUGGAAAACUUGAGUGCAGAAGAGGAAAGUGGAAUUCCAUGUGUAGCGGUGAAAUGCGCAGAGAUAUGGAGGAACACCAGUGGCGAAGGCGACUUUCUGGUCUGUAACUGACGCUGAUGUGCGAAAGCGUGGGGAUCAAAC
This 269-nucleotide ribosomal RNA is filed under the name uncultured Staphylococcus sp. RNAcentral describes it as "partial 16S ribosomal RNA". It matches the Rfam family "Bacterial small subunit ribosomal RNA", at positions 505 to 773 of the family's 1533-position model. Lineage: Bacteria; Bacillati; Bacillota; Bacilli; Caryophanales; Staphylococcaceae. The record is from RNAcentral.